UCCGAAUUGGUGUAGUGGCUAACAUUUGACGCUCUCAUCCUCCCAUGAUCCGUCAAGCCCGGGGUUCGAUUCCCCGAUUCGGAG
This is a non-coding RNA of Microdochium bolleyi, 84 nucleotides long. NCBI's taxonomy places the organism in Eukaryota, Fungi, Ascomycota, Sordariomycetes, Xylariales, Microdochiaceae. The record is from the annotation of a GenBank genome assembly.